UACGGAGGGUGCAAGUGUUAUUCGGAAUCACUGGGCGUAAAGAGCACGUAGGCGGAUGGGUAAGUCAGAUGUGAAAUCCCGGGGCUUAACUUCGGAACUGCAUUUGAUACUGCCCGUCUUGAGUGUGGUAGAGGGGGAUGGAAUUCCCGGUGUAGAGGUGAAAUUCGUAGAUAUCGGGAGGAACACCAGAGGCGAAGGCGAUCCCCUGGGCCAUUACUGACGCUGAGGUGCGAAAGCGUGGGGAGCAAACAGG
This 253-nucleotide ribosomal RNA is filed under the name uncultured bacterium. RNAcentral's name for it is "partial 16S ribosomal RNA". It matches the Rfam family "Bacterial small subunit ribosomal RNA", at positions 524 to 776 of the family's 1533-position model. The record is from RNAcentral.